RNAcentral lists this ribosomal RNA (506 nucleotides) under uncultured bacterium. RNAcentral's name for it is "partial 16S ribosomal RNA". It matches the Rfam family "Bacterial small subunit ribosomal RNA", at positions 899 to 1397 of the family's 1533-position model. The record is from RNAcentral.
ACUCAAAUGAAUUGACGGGGGCCCGCACAAGCGGUGGAACAUGUGGUUUAAUUCGACACUACGCGAGGAACCUUACCUAGGCUUGACAUGUGCCUGACAGCUGUAGAAAUACGGUCUUCUGGACUUCGGUUCAGACGGGUACACAGGUGCUGCAUGGCUGUCGUCAGCUCGUGUCGUGAGAUGUUGGGUUAAGUCCUCUAACGAGCGCAACCCUUGCUGUCAGUUGCUAUCUACGUAAGUAGAGCACUCUGAUGGGACUGCCUGGGAAACCAGGAGGAAGGUGGGGACGACGUCAAGUCAUCAUGGCCCUUAUGCCUAGGGCUACACACGUGUUACAAUGGCCGGUACAAAGAGCUGCAAACUUGUAAAAGUAAGCUAAUCUCAUAAAGCCGGUCUAAGUUCGGAUUGAGGUCUGCAACUCGACCUCAUGAAGUUGAAAUCGCUAGUAAUCGCGUAUCAGCAACGGCGCGGUGAAUACGUUCACGGGCCUUGUACACACCGCCCGU